UAACCUUAUAUUAUAAACAGUUGUUUAUUAUGAUUAUUUAUUAUUGUUUUCUCAUAUUUUGCAAUUGUUAAGUUGGUUUACUUCGAAUUUAAUAUGCAUUACUGUGGUAUUUCUCCAGUUUUCUAAGAAGUUUGGUGAUUUUGAAUUGGGAUUAUGAUGAAUUUAACCCAAAGGCAAUGUGUGUUUAUUUAUGUGGCAAAAUUCCAGGCACCAUAAAAAUUUGAGUUUCUUCCUGUUGCCCAUGGAUGAAAUCGGUUUGCAGAAUGAAAAGAAAUUGUUCAAUGUGAUAUACUUUCUAUGAACAGUCCUCAAUAUUGUUACAUUAACUUUUAAAUAUGCACUUUACAUCUUGAGGAGCAGGCCUUUGCAGAAAUACUGAAAAGCGGGUUGCAAAACAACGCAAAAUAAAACAAACGAAAUAUGUCUUGAGAUUAAACAUUCAAGUUGCAGGUGUGUUCUUUCUUAAACUGAAAUGAUAAUUUUGUAAUUCUGUAGGCACAUCUAUUGAGAAGUUACAACCAGUGGUAAAGUGCCUUAAGGGAAUCUAUGACAUAUAAUUGAAGGGACAUCUCCUCUGAAGGAAUUACAAUUAUUUGCCAGUAUGUCAAAUGAAUUUUCAACAUCAGUCAUACUUUCAUGAAUUUAUUGAUGAAAAUAAAACUAGGUACAUGAUUUAUUAUUUACUUCCAAGGGAUUCUAAGAUACUAUGUGUAAAAAGUCCAAUAUGCAGUGAUGAGCAUGCUAAUAACUGGCAAAAUAUGGGAUAUAACGCCAAAGAUGGGAAACAUGGGAUGCAUUCUGAAAUAAAAAGAGAUGAAACUGAGAGAAAUUAUCCAUAUAAACAUAUAAAUCAACAUUACAUUACAUAGUUUCCCACCUUUAGACGUAUCAGAUGAGUAUGAGAACUGUCACUGUGACAGGAGAAUUUUAUAAAAUACUCCUGUCACAGAGAUCUAAAGGUUGGAAACUAUGUAAUGUUAUCAUCGGCUAAGAGUGUUAACCUGCUAACCCCAUUUUUCACUGUGAGUGAUAUUGGGGUAGUUUCUAGGUCUGUGUACCUUCAUACCAUGUCCCACAAGCCCGCUGGUUCCACUGUAGUUUAGAGAUAGCUAUUUCUAAACUACAUUGGUGUCGGCGGGUUUGUGGGGUGGUGUAUGAAAAUACACAGACCCAGAAACUAGCCCAAUAUCACUCAAAGUGAAAAAUGGAGUUAGCAGGUUAAAACUCUUAUCCAACGUUAUGUUAAGUUAUUCGUUUAUAACGAUAAUUUCCACUUUUACCAGUUUCAUCUCUUUUUAUCUCACAAGUUAAUAUGUUUUCCAUCUUUUGCGUUAUUUUGCCGGUUAUUAGUGUGAGUGCUCAUUACUGUCUAUUUACGAUUCUGUGAUUUCUCAAUAUGAUGCUGAGUAGGUAUAGAUGAGUAUCUACAACCCUUUCAAAACAGAAAUUUAUGAGUUCAUUUUAUGUACCUAUUAAACUUUAUUUUAAGGAUGAAUUUGAAAUGCUUGUAGGGAAUAUAUCUGUAAAAAUAAAAUUGGUAUUGUAAAAUUGAAAUUCUCAAAAUAUAAUUUAUAAUUCGAA
This 1581-nucleotide long non-coding RNA is filed under the name Diabrotica virgifera virgifera (western corn rootworm). RNAcentral's name for it is "uncharacterized LOC126879599". Lineage: Eukaryota; Metazoa; Arthropoda; Insecta; Coleoptera; Chrysomelidae. The record is from RNAcentral.